Molecule: long non-coding RNA, 1432 nt
Filed under: Phasianus colchicus (ring-necked pheasant)
Lineage: Eukaryota; Metazoa; Chordata; Aves; Galliformes; Phasianidae
Description: lncRNA (ENSPCLG00000015107.1)
Source: RNAcentral
AGGACAGAGGGAUGGAUAGAGGGAGGAAUGGAUGUAAGGAGGAAUGGAUGGAGGGAGGGAUGGAUGGAUGUAAGGAGAGGUGGGUGGAUGGAGGGAGGGAGGGAGGGAGGGAGGAAUAGAGGGAGGGAGGGAUGGAUGGAUGCAUGGAAGGAUGGAUGAAUGGAGGGAUGGACAGAUGGAUGGGGGUAUGGAUGGAUGGAUGGACAGACGGAUGGACGGACGGAGGGACGGCAGGAUGGAGAUACAGACGGCCACCCAUACAGCCGGUGCUGAGGACGCAGGCCGUGGUGUCCCCUGCACACACAGCGCUGCUCUGCCCCCCCUCCCAUCCCCCCCCCCCAGCUGACAGCAGCUCCUCGCUAAUUACCGCCCCUUUAAUCCAAUCAAGGCUCCCUCGACCCGCCGAGGCCGAGGCAGCCCUUAAUUACCUCAUCUUUCCUAUCGGCCUAACGAGGGGCAACGGGAAGGAAACACUUCUGGGAUCUCUGUCUGCUCCCAGAUGUCGUUUGGCUCCGCGUUGCUGACACUUGUUGUGCACGCACGGGGCCGUUUGCACGGGGCUGUUUGCACGGAGCACUUUGCACGGAGCACUUUGCACAGGGCUGUUUGCACGGGGUUGUUUGCAUGCAGCUGUUUGCACGGAGCUGUCGUUUAAAUGGAGCUGUUUGCACAGAGCAGCAUGCACAGGGCUGUUGCACGGAGCUGUUUGCACGGAUAGCAUGCACACAGCUGUUGCACGGAGCAGUUUGCACAGGGCCACUUACACAGGCCUGUUGCACGGGGCUGUUGCACAGGCAGCAUGCAUGGGGCUGCUGCACAAGGCUGCUGUUUGCACAGGGCUGUUGCACAGUGCUGCUGUUUGCACAGGGUCGUUUGCACAAGGCUGUUUGCUCAGGGCCAUUUGCACAAAGCUGCCCUUUGCACAAGGCUGUUUGAACAAGGCUGCACAGAGCCAUUUGCACAAGGUUGCUGUUUUUGCACAGGGCUGCCGUUUGCACAAAGCCAUUUGCACAAGGCUGUUUGCACAGGGCUGUUUGCACAGGGCUGCCGUUUGCACAAGGCCGUUUGCACAAGGCUGCCGUUUGCACAACACCAUUUUGCACAAGGCUGCCUUUUGCAUGAGGCUGUUUGCACAGAGCCAUUUGCACAGCGCUGCCGUUUGCACGAGGCCGUUUGCACGAGGCUGCUGUUAGCACAGGGCCGUUUGCACGAGGCUGCCGUUUGCACGAGGCCGUUUGCACGCCGCCCCACGUCCCCAUGCCCGGAGUGGGGCCGCAGCCAAGCUCCCUUCCUGUUGACGUCCCGCUGUCAGCGCGGCUCAAGGACUUCCCGGCACGGAACAUCGCGGCCCCGCCGGCGUCCACCCCACCCCACAGCCCAUACAGGGGUCAUGGCCCCACGCAGCCCUAUAACCACAUCCUAUAUCCUAUAG